AUGCAGUGAAUGAUCCUAAAUGGAAAGCAGCAAUGUUGGAGGAAAUGUAUGCUCUAGAAAAGAAUAAUACAUGGCAAUUGGUAGAAUGGCCGAAGGGCAAGGAACCAGUCGGAUGCAAAUGGGUUUAUAGCAUUAAGUGUAACCCUGAAGGUAAAAUAGAAAGAUGGAUGUAAAAAAUGCAUUCUUACAUGGAGACCUUCAGGAGGAAAUUUAUAUGCAUAUACCACCAGGUUUCAACACGGUACAAACUGAAGGAAAGGUCUUGAAACUCCGCCGUUCACUGAGAUGAUGAUCAAGGUAUUGAAAGAGUGAAGCAACAUUUGAGGAACGAGUUCGAAGUCAAGGAUCUAGGAGAAAUGAGGUACUUUCUUGGAAUUGAAGUCUCACGAAGCUCAAGAGGUAUCUAUCU
Molecule: non-coding RNA, 409 nt
Organism: Triticum urartu
Lineage: Eukaryota; Viridiplantae; Streptophyta; Magnoliopsida; Poales; Poaceae
Source: RefSeq, a predicted model, not a curated record